AGUGAACGCUGGCGGUAGGCCUAACACAUGCAAGUCGAACGGCAGCACAGUAAGAGCUUGCUCUUACGGGUGGCGAGUGGCGGACGAGUGAGGAAUACAUCGGAAUCUACUUUUUCGUGGGGGAUAACGUAGGGAAACUUACGCUAAUACCGCAUACGACCUACGGGUGAAAGCAGGGGAUCUUCGGACCUUGCGCGAUUGAAUGAGCCGAUGUCGGAUUAGCUAGUUGGCGGGGUAAAGGCCCACCAAGGCGACGAUCCGUAGCUGGUCUGAGAGGAUGAUCAGCCACACUGGAACUGAGACACGGUCCAGACUCCUACGGGAGGCAGCAGUGGGGAAUAUUGGACAAUGGGCGCAAGCCUGAUCCAGCCAUACCGCGUGGGUGAAGAAGGCCUUCGGGUUGUAAAGCCCUUUUGUUGGAAAGAAAAGCAGCAGGUUAAUACCCCGCUGUUCUGACGGUACCCAAAGAAUAAGCACCGGCUAACUUCGUG
RNAcentral lists this ribosomal RNA (491 nucleotides) under uncultured bacterium. Its description in RNAcentral is "partial 16S ribosomal RNA". It matches the Rfam family "Bacterial small subunit ribosomal RNA", at positions 29 to 507 of the family's 1533-position model. The record is from RNAcentral.